GACGUAGGGCGCGAGCGUUGUCCGGAUUUAUUGGGCGUAAAGGGCUCGUAGGCGGUUUGUCGCGUCGGGAGUGAAAACCAGGUGCUUAACACCUGGCUUGCUUUCGAUACGGGCAGACUAGAGGUAUUCAGGGGAGAACGGAAUUCCUGGUGUAGCGGUGAAAUGACGCAGAUAUCAGGAGGAACACCGAUGGCGAAGGCAGGUCUCUGGGCAUUAACUGACGCUGAGGAGCGAAAGCAUGGGGGAGCGAACAGG
RNAcentral lists this ribosomal RNA (255 nucleotides) under uncultured bacterium. RNAcentral's name for it is "partial 16S ribosomal RNA". It matches the Rfam family "Bacterial small subunit ribosomal RNA", at positions 524 to 776 of the family's 1533-position model. The record is from RNAcentral.